Molecule: ribosomal RNA, 315 nt
Filed under: Triticum aestivum (bread wheat)
Lineage: Eukaryota; Viridiplantae; Streptophyta; Magnoliopsida; Poales; Poaceae
Description: partial small subunit ribosomal RNA
Source: RNAcentral
AUGCAUCAUUUUUCAUUGAUCAUUCGGUACUGCACGAGGUCUUCGCCGCCUGCGCCGAACGUUUGGAUCGAGCGAUCGCUGGAUGGGUCUCCAGUUCUUCUCCACUACAUGGUUAAUGGAAUCACAAGAUUAUUUCUUUGCCAAAGAAAGGGUGCCAAUUUAUAUGGGCCAGACAACAGGAACCUCUCACCGGUGGCGUCUGGCCAGCAACCACUUCUCUCAUUGCUUAAUGCAUGUAGAUUCGAUUUGGAGAACCAAGAGCUUUGUUCCACGCAUGAAGGCCAUAUUUGUAGCAAUACAUUUACGUACACUUGA